RNAcentral lists this ribosomal RNA (286 nucleotides) under Leptura aurosericans. Its description in RNAcentral is "partial 12S ribosomal RNA". The stretch from base 67 to 133 matches the Rfam family "tRNA". The record is from RNAcentral. Lineage: Eukaryota; Metazoa; Arthropoda; Insecta; Coleoptera; Cerambycidae.
GCUUUCAUUUUAAAAUGGAAUAAGUCGUAACAAAGUAGGUUUACUGGAAAGUGAACCUAGAAAGAACAAGUUAUAGCUUAUAAAGCGUUUUAUUUACAUUAAAAAGAUAGUUGUUUAAUUCAAUUUAAUUUGAAAUGAAAAGGUUAUUUUUUAAAUAAUUUAUUAAUUUUAAUAUUAAAAUAAAAAAAUUUAAUUUUAUUAUAGUUUAGAAAAAAUUUAAUUAAUUAUAGUUUAUUAGUAUUGUGAAAGAAAUUUUUUAUUUUAUUAAUAGAAAAAUUAAAUUUUU